GGUGCUGAGCGCAGGCUGGGCGCGGCCACAUCACCCUAAGGGCGUGGGUGUUGGAGUCUUGCAGGCUGGGGUCCCAGGUGAGAGAUGCCAGCAGGGAGCUCUAGAUGGGGAACUGGGUGAGCCUGGCUCGGUAAGGGCGUGCUCAGAACACCCCAUCCCCGAACACGGUCUUGUCUGAUAAAAUGUCACGCAAGAAGAAUCUGAAACCGCGAGAAGAGGAGGACACGGCCAGACUGCACCAAGCCCCGGCACCUCUGUGGGGAAAAGCAGGUCAGGCUGAGCGGGGCCGGCGGGGACACGCGCUCCUGGGCUUCUCCAGAGUCUGCCGGGGCCAGACCCGGGACUGAGGCUGGGACGCACUGUGCAGUCCCACCCCUCACACCCCUGGAAACACCCUCAGGAGUAACACAAGCCGGGGUUGAGUUUCUUGAAGAGAAGCUGGCUGCUUCCUGGAGCCAGGGAAAGAGGAGCACAGGGGCCAAGCGGUCCAGGGCCACGGAGGAGCAGGACCCCUGGGGAAAGGCCCGGGUCUAGGCCGGGGCCAGGGGAACGUGGUGGAGACCUCAAAAAUGGCAGAACACGGAAGCAGGGCGAGAAAAGCGAACGUAGUCCUUGCGGCAGUUUGAAAUACACAGGGGUAAACGCUGUGACUCCGCCCGGAUGCAGAGUGGGGGUCCGUGUCUCUCCCCACAGGCUGCAGGGACCGGGCUCUGGGUAACCAGCAGAAGGUAACAGAACGAGGCUGCUUUUCCUCCAGGCUGUUCUGGUGUCCAUGCGUGGCUUGUUCGCUGACUCCUGACUUGGAGCGCCGCGUGGCCAGAGAAAUGUGGGUGCCUCCAGGCCACCAUGGUGAGAGGAGAGGCCACCGCACGAACGGAAGAAGCGAUGGAGACGGUCUUUACGACCUUAGAACAGAAAGAGUUUCUUAUACACAAUCUGAAAAGUAAAAAUUGAUUGAUUGAUUGAUUGAGAUGGAAUCCCACUCUGUCGUCCAGGCUAGAGUGCAAUGGCUUGAUCUCGGCUCAUUGCAACCUCCGCCUCCCGGGUUCAAGCGAUUCUCCUGCCUCAGUCUCCCGAGUAGCUGGGAUUAUAGGCGCCCGCCACCACGACUGGCUAAUUUUUAUAUUUUUAGUAGAGACGCGGUUUCACCGUGUUGACCAGGCUGGUCUUGAACCCCUGCCCUCAGGUGAUCCGCCUGCCUCGGUCUCCCAAAGUGCUGGGAUUAUAGGCGUGAGCCACCGUGCUGGGCCAAAAAUCAAUUUUAAAACGACCACAUGAAAACUAAAUCUCCUGUAUCACAGAGCAUGUUCUGAGGAACAUGAAAGCCACAGAUCCAGAAGAUAUUUGUGACACAUAUGAAAAACAAAAACUCAUAUUCAAAACAUACACAGCAUUGCUAUGAAUCAUUAAGAAAAAUGAUUUCGUCUCCUCUACAGAAGCCUGAGUGAAGGACAAGGACACAUCAUUAUAAACCAGGGAGCUUGAAGAGCUAGUUAACAAGCACAGAAAAUAUGUUCCCCCACACUGUUAAUCAAGAAAAUUAAAACUGUAAUGAGAUGCCGCAUUGUAUCCAUGGGAUUACUAAAAGUACAAAGUUCCACAAUACCCCUUGUUGACGGAGCAGGGGAACCGCAGGAGCCUGCAGGAGAUGAGAUUGUAAACGUGCAAGGACAUUUUGGAGAAGAGUUGACAAUAUCUCACUCACGUGUAUCAAGCCAAGUGCCGAAAGAAGAAUUGGUUGUCAUAAAGAAAACAGAAACCCAGACUGGAUGUAGCUUAUCCCUCCAAUGGAAAGUUACAAAGAAGUUAAAAUGAAUGGGCUGCAUCUCUGUGUAACAAUUUGGAUCAAUAUCAAAGACACAUUUGUUAAAGCAAGGUGUACAAUGAAACGUGCAACAUGAUUUGUCUGUUUAGUAAAACACAGAAAAUCUAACUCCGCCUGGCUUACGAACACACACACGUGUUAGAAUUUGGAAAAAGGAAAGGGAGGGAAGCCGGCUACACGUGAACUUCUGGAAAAAUCUCAGACUCUGAGGGUCUGGGGCACCAGGUGGAGACCAUGGCAGCCUUCAGGGAUAUGAGGAUGUGUUUGCUUCCCCUUCUGCCGUGAUUGUAAGUUUCCUGAGACCCCUCCAGCCGUGCUGAACUGAUUUCCUGAAGAUACCAUCCCAGUCAAGUGGUCUGCCUGGUACUGAGCCACCAGACCACCCAGCAUGUCCUCACCCGAGUGGACAGAUGACAGGGGGCUCUGAGCAUGCCCCAGUGCACCUUACGCACCUGUGAAGGUUGGGAGCCUGAGUGCAGCUCCUGUGGCACUGCCCAUGGCCAGGGAGAUGCCUCCUCAGUGCUCCUGACCCUCGGUGGAGGACUGGCCAGUGUGUGUGCCGGCAGUGUGUCCACACAGGUGUGCUGCACCCAAUGGGCAAGUCGGAAACAAAGGAAAAUGCUCUCUGAAGGAAAAGGCAAAGCAAUUUGGAUUUCUGCGAGAAAAUGAGACUGCAUGUGGCACUGUAAAUACCCUUGCUGUUGAACUUCUCGCUCCCCCCAAAUACACCCUUCAUAUUGACAUGUCUAGAACCUUAAACUGAACCAAGUUGAAAAGUGAGAUUAAUUAGGGCUGAGUUAACAGUUAACACAUACAAUGAAAUAUUGAAUAAGGCUUACUGAGCAAACAAGAAUAUACAGAAGUGGAGGAGACAAAGAGGAUAUUAAAAAUGCAGACAGUGAUGAGGCAGAUAGCUGGGACAAAUAAUGAAAAAUAGUAAAGGAGAUAAGGCAGAUAUUGGAGGAGCAAAGAGUCUCUGAAAUAGAUAUCGGUAUUGAAAGAUGCUAAACACGCUUCUAAAGAGACUUUCUAGCCGACACAGGGUGCUCACUGAUGGAUGAAGUAGAAACAUUGUUAAAUGGAAUCAAACAGGGCAAAGCGGGAGAAGAAAAAGAAGUAGGUAAACCAGUAAAUUAACUUUUCUCGUGUGUGCUGUGUACUAUUUGUGAGUGAGCAAUGAACGCUGUGGCUCCCUGGAGGGGCCGUGGUGGGAAGUUUCGCUGCAAUCAAGUAGAGGUGGUGCCUUUGGACCUCUUCUCCUGAACCUGCAGGGAGAGGCGCAGAAUAUUCACCAGGUGAAGAUGCAACAAUUCAAAUGAGUGUCCAGGUUUUCAGGGUGGUUGCUAAACCCCAAAAGACCGAUAGCUUCGGGCAAAAGACUGCAGAAAGAACAGCUUUACAUUUUUAUGGAAGCAAUGGGAAAUGUACCCUGUAAGCCUUGAAAAAUUCCCGAAGGGAUUCCUGUUCAUUCCUGUGGAUCCUAAUGGGCCAGCAUAGACCUGUUAGUCAGAAGAGGAUUUAUCUACAUUGCACACCCAUUCAGGCAGGCAGGGAAGUCAACGCCACUUUCAGAUGUUUGUAGAGCAUGAACCCUGUCCGUUCCCACGCCCUCCAAAGGCUGUUACACAGGGAUGCCCGCUUCUGGACAGAAGUGAUUCAUGCAGGAUGAGAACCAUGACCACAGAAGAUUUUGUGCAUGUGGUUAUUUCAAUAUUUAAUUUAAGUGUAUGCAUGAGUGUUCAGGAUAAAAAUGCUUGGAGUGUACUUUAAUUCCAUUAAAAAUGUAUACAUUA
This is a long non-coding RNA of Pan troglodytes (chimpanzee), 3618 nucleotides long. RefSeq lists it as uncharacterized. Lineage: Eukaryota; Metazoa; Chordata; Mammalia; Primates; Hominidae. The transcript is spliced from 3 exons. The record is from RefSeq and is a predicted model, not a curated record.